RNAcentral lists this transfer RNA (80 nucleotides) under Podarcis lilfordi (Lilford's wall lizard). RNAcentral's name for it is "tRNA.Lys". The record is from RNAcentral. Lineage: Eukaryota; Metazoa; Chordata; Lepidosauria; Squamata; Lacertidae.
GCAUGUGUAAAGGUAGCUCCGUUAGUAAAGCAUGAAACUCUUAAUCUCAGAGUCUUGGGUUCAAGCCCCAUGGCUGGGCA